UACGGAGGGUGCAAGCGUUGUUCGGAUUCAUUGGGCGUAAAGCGAGUGUAGGCGGUUUGACAAGUCGGAUGUGAAAUCCCGGGGCCCAACCCCGGAACUGCAUCCGAUACUGUCUGGCUAGAGUCCCGGAGAGGGUGGCGGAAUUCCCGGUGUAGGGGUGAAAUCCGUAGAUAACGGGAGGAACACCAGUGGCGAAGGCGGCCACCUGGACGGUGACUGACGCUGAGACUCGGAAGCGUCGGUAGCAAACAGG
This 253-nucleotide ribosomal RNA is filed under the name uncultured bacterium. Its description in RNAcentral is "partial 16S ribosomal RNA". It matches the Rfam family "Bacterial small subunit ribosomal RNA", at positions 524 to 776 of the family's 1533-position model. The record is from RNAcentral.